UCUUUCCAGCGUCCCUUCAUUACGACGCCAUCUCUCUCCCCAUGGAAAGAAAAUCCACGAUUCUACCGUCCCUUCCUUUCUAUUCUUUCGCUCAUAUUGCAAGAAAAAAGUGAUGCAUCGAUCUGGCAUGGUCGAGGGUUUACGUAGAUCAGGUGCUCGAAUCUACUCCUACAAACCACAACGAACCUAAUUUUUUGGAAAAUCUCCAAUUUCUGAUUGAGAUGCUACCCGCCAGGCUUCCCUUCAAAUCUUCGGUUGUUCUUGACGAGCAGAUCAGUCCAUCUAGCCAAGGUUCAUGUCAGCGGAAUACUGCAUGGUCCAGCCAUGAGCCAUCAGAACAGCUAACCCAAUUUGCACCCCGUGAAAACUGAUGGAAGAUCGAUCCCUAUAUCCGACAUUCAUGUGUGCGGUCAUGUCAAUGUUGCAGACAGAGUACGUCCACGCUGAAGACCCAACCACAACCACACACAGACACACCCUUGGUUCUAAACGGUUUGUUUUUUCUUAUUAUUGCUUCAUAUGUUGAAUUGUGAUCAGUUUUAUAUACACAUCUCUGAUUGCCCAUCACGUCUGAACACGAUUGUGUACCCCGAUUAAGUUCACCUGGAUAUGUUUGAAUGAAUUCCAAUUGGUUUA
This is a long non-coding RNA of Triticum dicoccoides, 636 nucleotides long. RefSeq lists it as uncharacterized. The transcript has 2 exons. Lineage: Eukaryota; Viridiplantae; Streptophyta; Magnoliopsida; Poales; Poaceae. The record is from RefSeq and is a predicted model, not a curated record.